AUAAAAAAUUUACUUUAAAUUUUAUGUUUAAUUUUUAUUUAAUAAAAAUAAUUUUAAUAAGUUAUAUUUUUAGUAGAGUUUAUUGAAAAAAUUAAUUUAGUUAUAGUUAAAUUGUAUUGUAAAAGAUUAUUGAAAUAAAAUUUUAUUUUAUAAAAGUAUAAUUUGAUUUUAGUACCUUGUGUAUCAGGGUUUAUUAAAUAAAUAUUAUAAAUUUUAAUUUUCUCGAAUUUAAGAGAGCUAAUAAAUUAUUUUUUUUAUUGUGAAAAAAAUAUUUAUAAUAAUUUAUUAGUAAUGAUAUGUUAUUCGUUCUUAAAUAUAUCUAGUUUAUUUAGAAAUGAAUUUAAUUCAGAUAUUAUUAUUUUAAUGGUUUAAUUUUUUAAAUUAUUAAAUUUAUUAAUAUUAAUAAUUAAAGGGAUUAGCUUUUAAUUAAAAAUUUAAAAAUUAAUAGAAUAUUUUAAAAAAGAUGUAGAUUUAGAAAUAGUCAUCAUUAAUAAUUUGUUAUAAUUAAUUUAUUAAAAAAUAUUAUUUUAUAUAGUUUUAAAUUUUUUAUAAAUAAUUAAUUUUUAAUUUUAAAAAUUUAGUUAUAAUGAUAGAAUUAGUAUAUAUUUAAUUUGUUUAAAUAAUAGGUUUUUAAAGAUUAUUUAAAGGAAUUCGGCAAAAAUUUUACUCGCCUGUUUAACAAAAACAUGUCCUUUUGGAUUUUUAUUUAAGGUCUAGUCUGCCCACUGAAUUUAAAUUUUAAAUGGCCGCAGUAUUUUGACUGUGCAAAGGUAGCAUAAUCAAUAGUUUUUUAAUUAAAAGCUUGUAUGAAAGGCUGGACGAGGUAAGAUCUGUCUCUAUUUAAAUUAAUAUAAAAUUUAACUUUUAAGUUAAAAGGCUUAAAUAUAGUUAAAAGACGAGAAGACCCUAUAGAUCUUUAUAAUUUGUUAAUUAAAGUUAAUUUAGAAAUAUUAAUGUUUUAUUUAAUUAAAUUAUUUUAUUGGGGUAAUAGAAAGAUUGAAUUAAUUCUUUUUUUUAAUAAACAUUAAUUUAUGGAUGUUAGAUGAUCCAGUUUUACUGAUUAUAAGAUUAAGUUACCUUAGGGAUAACAGCGUAAUUUUUUUAGAGAGUUCAUAUCGAUAAAAAAGUUUGCGACCUCGAUGUUGGAUUAAAGAUUAUUUUAGGUGUAGAAGCUUAAUAAUUUUGGUCUGUUCGACCAUUAAAUCUUUACAUGAUCUGAGUUCAGACCGGCGUAAGCCAGGUCGGUUUCUAUCUUUAAUACAAUAGAAUAUUUUAGUACGAAAGGACCAAAUAUUUGGUAUAUUUAUAUUUGAUUAAUUGAAUAUUAUUAAAGUUAUAA
Molecule: ribosomal RNA, 1339 nt
Filed under: Carabus nemoralis
Lineage: Eukaryota; Metazoa; Arthropoda; Insecta; Coleoptera; Carabidae
Description: large subunit ribosomal RNA
Rfam family: Archaeal large subunit ribosomal RNA (bases 1084-1243)
Source: RNAcentral